UGGGGAAUAUUGCACAAUGGGGGAAACCCUGAUGCAGCGACGCCGCGUGAGUGAAGAAGUAUUUCGGUACGUAAAGCUCUAUCAGCAGGGAAGAAAUAAAGUCCUUCGGACUUUGGACGGUACCUGACUAAGAAGCCACGGCUAACUACGUGCCAGCAGCCGCGGUAAUACGUAGGGGGCAAGCGUUAUCCGGAUUUACUGGGUGUAAAGGGAGCGUAGACGGCUGUGCAAGUCUGAAGUGAAAGCCCAGGGCUCAACCCUGGGACUGCUUUGGAAACUGUGGAGCUAGAGUGCUGGAGAGGUAAGUGGAAUUCCUAGUGUAGCGGUGAAAUGCGUAGAUAUUAGGAGGAACACCAGUGGCGAAGGCGGCUUACUGGACAGUAACUGACGUUGAGGCUCGAAAGCGUGGGGAGCAAACAGG
RNAcentral lists this ribosomal RNA (421 nucleotides) under uncultured bacterium. RNAcentral describes it as "bacterial SSU rRNA". It matches the Rfam family "Bacterial small subunit ribosomal RNA", at positions 355 to 776 of the family's 1533-position model. The record is from RNAcentral.